GUGGCUAAAUGAAGAUGGUAAGAUCUGAGCAGAUAUGUAGUUCAGAAAAUAAAUUUUUGACUUUUUAUUGUAAGGAGACUUGAGUUGAGCAUGUGGCAAACUUCUCCUUUCCUGUUUUCAUCCCUCCUCUUCGUCUUGGCAGUGAACCCUAUCAUCCAGCACUAUUUGUGCUGUGGUCCAUGAUGCUCUGGCCAAUGACCUGGUGUGUAGGUCACAGCCAGUAAGUGAGACUCUGCUUGUGCCAGUAAUUUAUAUACACUGAUAUGUGUUUGCCAUUCAUAUGAAGUGAUAGUGACAUCAUGCAUUUCCUCUUUUGACCUCUCUUGAAGAAAUGCCCACUUCUCCUAGUGUCCUCUUCAAAAUGUCCCUGGUAAGUAGGGCUGGAUAACCCUAUUCACCAGGGAUGGGAAAAGCCAAGAGUUUCCCAAAGAAUGGCCACCAAUACUCUGAUAACAAACCAGCACCAAUCCAAGAGAUCCUUCUAUGCUAGCAAUGGAAAGAACAAGACAAGUGGAGGACCCCUCUUCAAAGAUCAUGGCUUGCUUUGGAACCAUAAACCUACAACGACGUGAUAUUUAAAAAGAGGUCCUUUUUAAAUCUUAAUGGCCUCCUGACAGGUCCUCAGUAGCCUCGGUCACAGAGCUG
RNAcentral lists this long non-coding RNA (645 nucleotides) under Homo sapiens (human). Its description in RNAcentral is "HSALNT0047839". The record is from RNAcentral. Lineage: Eukaryota; Metazoa; Chordata; Mammalia; Primates; Hominidae.